Molecule: ribosomal RNA, 253 nt
Filed under: uncultured bacterium
Lineage: Bacteria
Description: partial 16S ribosomal RNA
Rfam family: Bacterial small subunit ribosomal RNA
Source: RNAcentral
UACAGAGGCCCCAAGCAUUAUCCGGAUUCACUGGGCGUAAAGGGUGCGUAGGCGGUGUGAUUAGUCAGGUGUUAAAUCCUGGGGCUUAACCUCAGAAUCGCAUUUGAAACGGUCAUACUAGAAGAAGUCAGAGGUAAACAGAACUCUCGGUGUAGGGGUGAAAUCCGUUGAUAUCGAGGGGAAUACCAAAUGCGAAGGCAGUUUACUGGGACUUUCUUGACGCUGAGGCACUAAAGCGUGGGUAGCGAAUCGG